RNAcentral lists this microRNA (21 nucleotides) under Apis mellifera (honey bee). RNAcentral's name for it is "ame-miR-3729-3p". Lineage: Eukaryota; Metazoa; Arthropoda; Insecta; Hymenoptera; Apidae. The record is from miRBase by way of RNAcentral.
UGUUUUCCCAACUCACUUGCA